CACGUGGGGGACGAGCGUUGUCCGGAAUCAUUGGGCGUAAAGGGCGCGUAGGCGGUUGGAUAAGUCUUGUGUGAAAUCUUCGGGCUCAACUCGAAGUCUGCACGAGAAACUAUCUGGCUUGAGUGUGGGAGAGGUGAGUGGAAUUCCUGGUGUAGCGGUGAAAUGCGUAGAUAUCAGGAGGAACACCUGUGGCGAAAGCGGCUCACUGGACCACAACUGACGCUGAGGCGCGAAAGCUAGGGGAGCAAACAGG
RNAcentral lists this ribosomal RNA (253 nucleotides) under uncultured bacterium. RNAcentral describes it as "partial 16S ribosomal RNA". It matches the Rfam family "Bacterial small subunit ribosomal RNA", at positions 524 to 776 of the family's 1533-position model. The record is from RNAcentral.